Molecule: ribosomal RNA, 634 nt
Filed under: Caulobacter sp. YP2
Lineage: Bacteria; Pseudomonadati; Pseudomonadota; Alphaproteobacteria; Caulobacterales; Caulobacteraceae
Description: bacterial SSU rRNA
Rfam family: Bacterial small subunit ribosomal RNA
Source: RNAcentral
CUGCAAGUCGAACGGAUCCUUCGGGAUUAGUGGCGGACGGGUGAGUAACACGUGGGAACGUGCCCUUUGGUUCGGAACAACUCAGGGAAACUUGAGCUAAUACCGGAUAAGCCUUUCGAGGGAAAGAUUUAUCGCCAUUGGAGCGGCCCGCGUAGGAUUAGCUAGUUGGUGAGGUAAAAGCUCACCAAGGCGACGAUCCUUAGCUGGUCUGAGAGGAUGAUCAGCCACAUUGGGACUGAGACACGGCCCAAACUCCUACGGGAGGCAGCAGUGGGGAAUCUUGCGCAAUGGGCGAAAGCCUGACGCAGCCAUGCCGCGUGAAUGAUGAAGGUCUUAGGAUUGUAAAAUUCUUUCACCGGGGACGAUAAUGACGGUACCCGGAGAAGAAGCCCCGGCUAACUUCGUGCCAGCAGCCGCGGUAAUACGAAGGGGGCUAGCGUUGCUCGGAAUUACUGGGCGUAAAGGGAGCGUAGGCGGAUAGUUUAGUCAGAGGUGAAAGCCCAGGGCUCAACCUUGGAAUUGCCUUUGAUACUGGCUAUCUUGAGUACGGAAGAGGUAUGUGGAACUCCGAGUGUAGAGGUGAAAUUCGUAGAUAUUCGGAAGAACACCAGUGGCGAAGGCGACAUACUGGUCC